CGUUGUCUGCAUGCGCAUGGGAUCGGAUAUUUAAGUUGAUUUACACGUAAAAUUCAAUUAACGAAUAAUGCAUGAAUUCGAUGCAGAUUUAUACACAUCCAUUUAUAUAUGCAAGCUCGUGCCAAAAAAAAAUAGAGAAUGAAAACGCCUUAACAUAUGCAUGCUUCAGAUAUAGCAUUAAUUAAUUAGCAGAUGAACUGAUCAGCAAUGCAUGCAGGUAGGUAGAAGCUUAAACUAUCGAACACAACCGUACUGGAGAUCGAUUAAUUCGACGUUCCAAUACACACAUAUAACAGUUCGUUGAUCGAUGUAAAAACUAAAUUAUGAUAAUAUGCAGUAGAGUAGUGUGCAGUGCUCACGGCCGCCGUCGGCAGAGGCGACGUCGGCGAAGGCAGCAGCCACCAGCAGGAGGGUGAGCACGACGAAAGCCUUGGACGCCAUUAGCUUGUGCAAACUAAGCAAGCAAGCUAGUAUAAGUUAGCUGAUCACUCGAGCUCACUUCGAUCACUUGCUGUAUGCUUAAUU
RNAcentral lists this long non-coding RNA (525 nucleotides) under Oryza brachyantha (malo sina). RNAcentral describes it as "long non-coding RNA (OBRA_LNC000541)". The record is from RNAcentral. Lineage: Eukaryota; Viridiplantae; Streptophyta; Magnoliopsida; Poales; Poaceae.